AUGCAUCUUAUCGUUACAGGUACAAGUCUGGAACUGAAGCAGGACCGCAUGGCUGACCCUUAAGUACCCCCAGGGCGUGGCUAAGGCUAUUCCAGAGAGUUGGUGCCAUGGCAGUAAAGAUCCUGAUCAUCUGUGGACAAAAGUUUUAUAGCCUCAGAGGACGAAGGCUGUACACCGCCCUGAGUCCUUUGGGAGAAGGGCGGUAUAGAAAUAAAAUUAUUAUUAUCAUCAUCAUCAUCAUCAUCAUCAUCAUCAUCAUCAUCAUCAUCUUCCCCAGGCGGAUUUUUACGGAUGUGCUCACCGGCUGAGCUCUUUGCCUUGCGAGACUCCCCCCUCUCGCAAGCCUGGCCUUCUAUGUUAUCAAAGGCCUACCUCGAUGAAGGGUUUUGGAACCCAGAGAGGUGGCAUGCCGCGAAAAGGGAGUUGAGGGGUUUUUUAUGUAAAGUUUUAGCUAAUU
Non-coding RNA from Pantherophis guttatus, 457 nucleotides. NCBI's taxonomy places the organism in Eukaryota, Metazoa, Chordata, Lepidosauria, Squamata, Colubridae. The record is from RefSeq and is a predicted model, not a curated record.